UCUGCACUAAUUUCUACUUUUUUCUAGCUCUACAAUUUUUAAAGCAAUUUCUAAUUUUUCGGUAAAAGGAUUAAUCACAAAUACCCACAGCCAAAUUUGCUUUUGAAAGACUUGGAUUUUGCAGUCUUAUGUGUGACAUUUGUGCUGUGUUAUCUAUGGCCGCAUCCAAUCAUAUCUUACUAAAUUUUUGUACCGCGCUACCUAAAAUUUUCCCACUACCGGUAAUUUGAUAAGAGUCUUUGUCUUCUUCAGUCAGGCACGAAAAAAAAAAUGUUGGUUCAGAUCUAACUAUUCAAUCAAGAGCUAGCUCAGGACAAAAAGAAGUGUGCAAUUAGGGGACGAUACCGUAGACAGACAAUAGACAAAUUUUUCUUUGAAUGGUUUACUUUUGACUAAAUGAUCGGUGAUCCAACACCACUGAUCGUUUUUCAAAGGGACCCAUGUUAUGGAUGAAAAUUGAUAAAACUUGAACCCUAUUUUUUUUUCCCCCUCUCCGUUGUGUGAAUCAACCUUGGUUAAUUAAACUCACCGAAAUUGGAGGGGGAAAAAAUCUUGAAAAUACAUAAUAAUCUGCUCCAUUUCUACUUAAAAACUUUCUCUUUUAUGCAUCAUACUGGCCUUAAAUUCUUGCAGCAGAAAGCAAAACGCAGGGACCAUAAAGCCAUCAAUAGUUCUCUAAAUUUCCAAAUAUAUGCAACAACAAUAGUCAGUACACAAACUACUUUCAGGAGAUUUAUUUAACAACUUAGAAACGAGAUGUAAUUUGUAUUUAAAAUAUAAAUCAAUGACUAUAAGCUUAUUAUAACAAGCAUAGGAUGUGACCAGCCUAUUUUUCUUUAGCAAUAAAAUGAGGUUCCACAAGCUGCCUGGACAUAGGGUGUGUUUGGGAGAGCAGCUGCCUAUAUUCUAGGAGGAUAUGCCAGUGCGGCUGCCUCAAACGUAGGGAUGACAAAUAUUCAAUUAUGGAUGGAUAAUAUCCAUCCAAACACAAAUCCAUAAUUAUCCAUAAUGGAUAUAUCCAAAUCCAUACACAAUAUUUAAUAUUGGACAUGUAUAUGGAUUUUAUCCAUAUAACUAUGGAGAUCCAUGGAUAUCCAUGGAUAUUUUAUUUUUA
Molecule: long non-coding RNA, 1114 nt
Filed under: Citrus x clementina
Lineage: Eukaryota; Viridiplantae; Streptophyta; Magnoliopsida; Sapindales; Rutaceae
Description: Citrus clementina (C. clementina) long non-coding RNA (CCLE_LNC006278)
Source: RNAcentral